Molecule: ribosomal RNA, 305 nt
Filed under: uncultured bacterium
Lineage: Bacteria
Description: bacterial SSU rRNA
Rfam family: Bacterial small subunit ribosomal RNA
Source: RNAcentral
AGCCUACGGGGGGCAGCAGUGGGGAAUAUUGCACAAUGGGGGGAACCCUGAUGCAGCGACGCCGCGUGGGUGAAGGAGUAUUUCGGUAUGUAAAGCCCUAUCAGCAGGGAAGAACAAUGACGGUACCUGACUAAGAAGCACCGGCUAAAUACGUGCCAGCAGCCGCGGUAAUACGUAGGGGGCAAGCGUUAUCCGGAUUUACUGGGUGUAAAGGGAGCGUAGACGGCAGGGCAAGUCUGGAGUGAAAGCCCGGGGCCCAACCCCGGGACUGCUUUGGAAACUGCCAUGCUAGAGUGCUGGAGAGG